Molecule: transfer RNA, 65 nt
Filed under: Tricholepidion gertschi
Lineage: Eukaryota; Metazoa; Arthropoda; Insecta; Zygentoma; Lepidotrichidae
Description: tRNA-Arg
Source: RNAcentral
GAAUAGGAAACAAACAAUUGUAAUCAGUUUCGACCUGGUCUUUGGUAUGAUUUUACCCCUACUCU